RNAcentral lists this ribosomal RNA (492 nucleotides) under uncultured bacterium. RNAcentral describes it as "partial 16S ribosomal RNA". It matches the Rfam family "Bacterial small subunit ribosomal RNA", at positions 29 to 507 of the family's 1533-position model. The record is from RNAcentral.
AGUGAACGCUGGCGGUAGGCCUAACACAUGCAAGUCGAACGGCAGCACAGUAAGAGCUUGCUCUUACGGGUGGCGAGUGGCGGACGGGUGAGGAAUACAUCGGAAUCUACUUUUUCGUGGGGGAUAACGUAGGGAAACUUACGCUAAUACCGCAUACGACCUACGGGUGAAAGCAGGGGAUCUUCGGACCUUGCGCGAUUGAAUGAGCCGAUGUCGGAUUAGCUAGGUGGCGGGGUAAAGGCCCACCAAGGCGACGAUCCGUAGCUGGUCUGAGAGGAUGAUCAGCCACACUGGAACUGAGACACGGUCCAGACUCCUACGGGAGGCAGCAGUGGGGAAUAUUGGACAAUGGGCGCAAGCCUGAUCCAGCCAUACCGCGUGGGUGAAGAAGGCCUUCGGGUUGUAAAGCCCUUUUGUUGGGAAAGAAAAGCAGCAGGUUAAUACCCCGCUGUUCUGACGGUACCCAACGAAUAAGCACCGGCUAACUUCGUG